GCGCGCGAGCGUCUCACCUAGGUCACCCUUGAAUAAACUACCUUCGUUGCUUUGGCGGGCCGCCUCCAAGGCCAGCGGCUUCGGCUGCUGCGCGCCCGCCGGAGGACCACAACUCUUGUUUUUAGUGAUGUCUGAGUACUAUAUAAUAGUUAAAACUUUCAACAACGGAUCUCUUGGUUCUGGCAUCGAUGAAGAACGCAGCGAAAUGCGAUAAGUAAUGUGAAUUGCAGAAUUCAGUGAAUCAUCGAAUCUUUGAACGCACAUUGCGCCCUUUGGUAUUCCGAAGGGCAUGCCUGUUCGAGCGUCAUUAUAACCACUCAAGCUCUCGCUUGGUAUUGGGGUUCGCGGCUUCGCGGCUCCUAAACUCAGUGGCGGUGCCUGUCGGCUCUACGCGUAGUAAUACUCCUCGCGUCUGGGUCCGGUAGGUUGCUUGCCAACAACCCCCAAUUUUUUUACAGGUUGACCUCGGAUCAGGUAGGGAUACCCGCUGAACUUAAGCAUAUCAU
RNAcentral lists this ribosomal RNA (506 nucleotides) under Phialophora sp. CJL-2014. RNAcentral describes it as "eukaryotic LSU rRNA". The stretch from base 154 to 307 matches the Rfam family "5.8S ribosomal RNA". The record is from RNAcentral. Lineage: Eukaryota; Fungi; Ascomycota; Eurotiomycetes; Chaetothyriales; Herpotrichiellaceae.